Molecule: ribosomal RNA, 497 nt
Filed under: uncultured bacterium
Lineage: Bacteria
Description: partial 16S ribosomal RNA
Rfam family: Bacterial small subunit ribosomal RNA
Source: RNAcentral
GAUGAACGCUGGCGGCGUGCUUAAUACAUGCAAGUCGAGCGAACAGACCAGGCGCUUGCUCCUCUGACGUUAGCGGCGGACGUGUGAGUAACAUGUGGAUAACCUACCUAUAAGACUGGGAUAACUUCGGGAAACCGGAGCUAAUCCCGGAUAAUAUCCUGAUACGCAUGGUUCGAUAGUGAUAGACGGCUUUGCUGUCACUUAUCGCUGGAUCCGCGCGGCAGUAGCUAGUUGGUAAGGUAACGGCUUACCAAGGCAACGAUGCGUAGCCGACCUGAUAGGGUGAUCGGCCACACUGGAACAGAGACACGGUCCUGAGUCCUCCGGGAGGCAGCAGUAUGGGAUCUUCCGCAAUGGGCGGAAGCCUGACGGAAGAACGCCGCGUUAGUGGUGAGGGUCUUCGGAUCGUAAAACUCUGUUAUUCGGGGAGAACAAAUGUCUAAGUAACUAUGCACGGCUUGACGGUACCUUAUCAGAAAGCCACGGCUAACUACGUG